ACCUUUUUCCUUUUUUCCAACUCUUGGCUUCAAACCUUUGUGACUAUAAAUACAUGAUUAUUGUGUGGCUCUAUGCAAAACCAAAAGUGUUCUAUUAUAUUCCUAAUAAUCAUAAUAAGAUGAUGAAGCCCAUUUUUGUUGCAUUUUUGCUUUUGGCUUCCCUAAUCUUCCUUCCUUCUUCAACUCUAGCUGCUCGAAUACUAGCACACAAUCAGCGUGUGAGUGGGAGAAGCGUUGUUAAUAAGGGUAUUGGAUGUGAUCCUUCGAAUCCUAACAAACAUUGUUAUCCGCCCAGGCCACGAUGCAAGAACCCCUACAGGCGUAAAUGCUACUCGCCACCGCACAAUAAUUAAGCUCCGACGAGAAACUAAUUAAGCCACUUGUUAAAGUUUUUUCAAUACAUUAAAUAGUAACCUUAAUAUAAUAAUAGGGUUCAAUGGAGGGAACUAAAGAGCCUAGCCUUUAUUAUUAUGAUUAAUUAAUGAAUAAGUUUGGUAUCUUAUUGUCAAUGAUGUGUUAUUUCAGUGUUUCAGCAAUUUCAAAUAGAAAUUGAUGUAAGUUUUUGUAUGUAGUAAUGUUUAUCGAAUAAAAAGAAACUCAUUAUAUUGGCUUA
Molecule: long non-coding RNA, 613 nt
Organism: Arachis duranensis
Lineage: Eukaryota; Viridiplantae; Streptophyta; Magnoliopsida; Fabales; Fabaceae
Exons: 2
Source: RefSeq, a predicted model, not a curated record